GACGAACGCUGGCGGCGUGCUUAACACAUGCAAGUCGAACGGUGAAGUGCCUUCCUUUUUGGUGGGUGUGGAUGAGUGGCGAACGGGUGAGUAACACGUGAGUAACCUGCCCCCUUCUUCUGGAUAACCGCAUGAAAGUGUGGCUAAUACGGGAUAUUCUGGGUCUGUCGCAUGAUGGGUCUGGGAAAGAUAUUGUUUCGGUGGGGGAUGGGCUCGCGGCCUAUCAGCUUGUUGGUGGGGUGAUGGCCUACCAAGGCGGUGACGGGUAGCCGGCCUGAGAGGGUGGACGGUCACACUGGGACUGAGACACGGCCCAGACUCCUACGGGAGGCAGCAGUGGGGAAUAUUGCACAAUGGGCGCAAGCCUGAUGCAGCGACGCCGCGUGAGGGAUGGAGGCCUUCGGGUUGUGAACAUCUUUCGCCAGUGAAGCAGGCCUGCCUCGUUUGUGGGUGGGUUGACGGUAGCUGGAUAAGAAGCGCCGGCUAACUACGUG
Molecule: ribosomal RNA, 494 nt
Filed under: uncultured bacterium
Lineage: Bacteria
Description: partial 16S ribosomal RNA
Rfam family: Bacterial small subunit ribosomal RNA
Source: RNAcentral